Molecule: ribosomal RNA, 465 nt
Filed under: uncultured bacterium
Lineage: Bacteria
Description: partial 16S ribosomal RNA
Rfam family: Bacterial small subunit ribosomal RNA
Source: RNAcentral
GACGAACGCUGGCGGCGUGCUUAACACAUGCAAGUCGAACGGAAAGGCCCUGCUUGCAGGGUACUCGAGUGGCGAACGGGUGAGUAACACGUGGGUGAUCUGCCCUGCACUUCGGGAUAAGCCUGGGAAACUGGGUCUAAUACCGGAUAGUAGCCAUGUUUAGUGUGAUGGUUGGAAAGUUUUUUCGGUGUAGGAUGAGCUCGCGGCCUAUCAGCUUGUUGGUGGGGUAAUGGCCUACCAAGGCGGCGACGGGUAGCCGGACUGAGAGGGUGGACGGCCACACUGAGACUGAGAGACGGCCCAGAUUCCGACGGGAGGCAGCAGGGGGGAAUACUGAACAAGGGGCGCCAGCCUGAUGAAGCGACGCCGCGGGGGGGAUGACGGCCUUAGGGUUGUAAACUCGUUUCGCUAGGGACGAAGCUUUUUGUGACGGUACCUAGAGAAGAAGCACCGGCUAACUACGUG